CAGUCGCCGCGGGAAUACAGGGGGUGCGAGCGUUAAUCGGAUUUACUGGGCGUAAAGCGUGCGUAGGCGGCUUUUUAAGUCGGAUGUGAAAUCCCUGAGCUUAACUUAGGAAUUGCAUUCGAUACUGGGAAGCUAGAGUAUGGGAGAGGAUGGUAGAAUUCCAGGUGUAGCGGUGAAAUGCGUAGAGAUCUGGAGGAAUACCGAUGGCGAAGGCAGCCAUCUGGCCUAAUACUGACGCUGAGGUACGAAAGCGUGGGGAGCAAACAGGAUUAGAUACCCCAGUAGUCCCUGUCUCUUAUAC
RNAcentral lists this ribosomal RNA (301 nucleotides) under uncultured bacterium. Its description in RNAcentral is "partial 16S ribosomal RNA". It matches the Rfam family "Bacterial small subunit ribosomal RNA", at positions 509 to 807 of the family's 1533-position model. The record is from RNAcentral.